Molecule: ribosomal RNA, 468 nt
Filed under: uncultured bacterium
Lineage: Bacteria
Description: partial 16S ribosomal RNA
Rfam family: Bacterial small subunit ribosomal RNA
Source: RNAcentral
GACGAACGCUGGCGGCGUGCUUAACACAUGCAAGUCGAACGGAAAGGCCCUGCUUUUGUGGGGUGCUCGAGUGGCGAACGGGUGAGUAACACGUGAGUAACCUGCCCUUGACUUUGGGAUAACUUCAGGAAACUGGGGCUAAUACCGGAUAGGAGCUCCUGCUGCAUGGUGGGGGUUGGAAAUUUUCGGCGGUUGGGGAUGGACUCGCGGCUUAUCAGCUUGUUGGUGGGGUAGUGGCUUACCAAGGCUUUGGCGGGUAGCCGGCCUGAGAGGGUGACCGGCCACAUUGGGACUAAGAGACGGCCCAGACUCCAACGUGAGGCAGCAGUGGGGAAUAUUGCACAAUGGGCCGAAGCCUGAUACAGCAACGCCGCGUUCGGGAUGACGGCCUUCGGGUUGUAAACCGCUUUCGCCUGUGACGAAGCGUGAGUGACGGUAAUGAGUAAAUAAGCACCGGCUAACUACGUG